Long non-coding RNA from Mauremys mutica (yellowpond turtle), 1429 nucleotides. RefSeq lists it as uncharacterized. The transcript is spliced from 8 exons. NCBI's taxonomy places the organism in Eukaryota, Metazoa, Chordata, Testudines, Geoemydidae. The record is from RefSeq and is a predicted model, not a curated record.
GUUAAAGGGUAGUUGGGAGGUUAAGGUGGGGAUGGUGUCUGGUAAUGGUCGUACUGCAGCAAGGAUAGGAUGCUUGUCUAUCUCCAGUACCUUUGAGCUCUGUGGCAAUUGCUGCUACUGCUGCCCAGUGGGAAUAUAGGGAGGUAAGGUGGAUAUAGCAUCUCCUAUAUCUCAGCAUGGAAUGAAGACACAGCCUAGUGGAAGCUGAAAGGGAAACAGAAGCUGCCAGAUGUAAUGGGGCCGAUUAACCUGCAACAUUCAAUGUGAGAUUUAUGCAUAAGAGGAGAAAAUCUGGGAAGAGCAGCAGAUCAUCAGAAUACUCCAGGAACCAGGGUCUGAACUGAGACUGGCGGUGACUCCCUGUAGCGAGAAACAUGGUAUGUCCACUGAUCACUGCACCGACAGCAAGAAUAGUCAACCACAGGAAGCUGGUGACAAGGGGCCUGCCCACAUGUCAAAGCUCCAGAAAGUCUUUCAAAAUUCAAGAUUACUUACAAACAGAAAAGGAAAGUUUCAGAAAGUGCAGCAUUUGAAAAAGGAACAAAAACUUUACAGCUGCAAGAGACUCAUGGGUACUCAGAUGAAAAGAGCAAAUAUAAAAUUUGCAUCUCCCAAGACACGUUUGUUGGGAGCAAAAACGACUUCUGAAUGGGUUCAGCUUUGGAACAUCAUCAUGUCAUUGUGUAAGGAAGAUAAAGGAAUCCUGGUGGCUUGCCCAGGCAUCCAGUUAAGAACAUACAUCAGGAUCCCUCACAUCAAAGAUUUAAGGCUGCAUGUAUUAAGGCUUGAUCGUAUUUAAAAAAAAAGUGGAAAAGUGAUGAUGCCUCCCACAGCAACUAGCUGCUGUCCACAUCAGUGCUGGUACCCAAAAAAAUGCAAUGCACAAAUCCCCAGACAAAAAAGGAAAAGAAUGCUGCCAUGCUUGAGUACACUCGACACAUCCUGCAUGUGACUUCAUAAAACCCAAAGACUUGCAACACACAAAAGUAAGCUUAACCCUUAAAAUUCUCAAGAUAAAGGACCAAGUCCAGGAGUGCUGUUGACAUGCACUCAGCACAGUUUAGGGGAUCUGCAUGUCGAAGUGGCUUAAAACUCCCCAUUGCACAAAACUGCUGCUGUAUCUGUGCAGGACCAUAAUCUUGCAGUGAGUUAUUGCAGCACGAAGUCUGCUCUAACUCUCACCUGCUGCAAGUAUACCUAAGGGGCUGGAACUGCAGCUGAGGACUGAUGUGAUGCAGUGGUGCCUUAGCCACACUCCUUUCUAUCCACCACUGGAAGAUCAUCUUUGCACUGGAGUAAUCCUUGGGCUUUUUACACCAGCUUUACUGUCACAUUCUGCUAGCGAGGCAGUGCAAAAAUGCCAUACCACACCUGUGCGGAACACUUAAGUCUCUUAAUCUUUCUUUGGGGAGGUGGGGCUCUAGACUGC